Molecule: ribosomal RNA, 497 nt
Filed under: uncultured bacterium
Lineage: Bacteria
Description: partial 16S ribosomal RNA
Rfam family: Bacterial small subunit ribosomal RNA
Source: RNAcentral
GAUGAACGCUGGCGGCGUGCCUAAUACAUGCAAGUCGAGCGAACAGACGAGGAUCUUGCUCCUCUGACGUUAGCGGCGGACGGGUGAGUAACACGUGGAUAACCUACCUAUAAGACUGGGAUAACUUCGGGAAACCGGAGCUAAUACCGGAUAAUAUAUUGAACCGCAUGGUUCAAUAGUGAAAGACGGUUUUGCUGUCACUUAUAGAUGGAUCCGCGCCGCAUUAGCUAGUUGGUAAGGUAACGGCUUACCAAGGCAACGAUGCGUAGCCGACCUGAGAGGAUGAUCGGCCACACUGGAACUGAGACACGGUCCAGACUCCUACGGGAGGCAGCAGUAGGGAAUCUUCCGCAAUGGGCGAAAGCCUGACGGAGCAACGCCGCGUGAGUGAUGAAGGUCUUCGGAUCGUAAAACUCUGUUAUUAGGGAAGAACAAAUGUGUAAGUAACUAUGCACGUCUUGACGGUACCUAAUCAGAAAGCCACGGCUAACUACGUG